AUCCAACUGACGAGCCCCAGAUAGGACAAAAUGCGUGUCUUGGAU
Schistosoma curassoni is the source of this 45-nucleotide non-coding RNA. The record is from Rfam. Lineage: Eukaryota; Metazoa; Platyhelminthes; Trematoda; Strigeidida; Schistosomatidae.